CAGUCGAACGAACUCUGGUAUUGAUUGGUGCUUGCAUCAUGAUUUACAUUUGAGUGAGUGGCGAACUGGUGAGUAACACGUGGGAAACCUGCCCAGAAGCGGGGGAUAACACCUGGAAACAGAUGCUAAUACCGCAUAACAACUUGGACCGCAUGGUCCGAGUUUGAAAGAUGGCUUCGGCUAUCACUUUUGGAUGGUCCCGCGGCGUAUUAGCUAGAUGGUGGGGUAACGGCUCACCAUGGCAAUGAUACGUAGCCGACCUGAGAGGGUAAUCGGCCACAUUGGGACUGAGACACGGCCCAAACUCCUACGGGAGGCAGCAGUAGGGAAUCUUCCACAAUGGACGAAAGUCUGAUGGAGCAACGCCGCGUGAGUGAAGAAGGGUUUCGGCUCGUAAAACUCUGUUGUUAAAGAAGAACAUAUCUGAGAGUAACUGUUCAGGUAUUGACGGUAUUUAACCAGAAAGCCACGGCUAACUACGUGCCAGCAGCCGCGGUAAUACGUAGGUGGCAAGCGUUGUCCGGAUUUAUUGGGCGUAAAGCGAGCGCAGGCGGUUUUUUAAGUCUGAUGUGAAAGCCUUCGGCUCAACCGAAGAAGUGCAUCGGAAACUGGGAAACUUGAGUGCAGAAGAGGACAGUGGAACUCCAUGUGUAGCGGUGAAAUGCGUAGAUAUAUGGAAGAACACCAGUGGCGAAGGCGGCUGUCUGGUCUGUAACUGACGCUGAGGCUCGAAAGUAUGGGUAGCAAACAGGAUUAGAUACCCUGGUAGUCCAUACCGUAAACGAUGAAUGCUAAGUGUUGGAGGGUUUCCGCCCUUCAGUGCUGCAGCUAACGCAUUAAGCAUUCCGCCUGGGGAGUACGGCCGCAAGGCUGAAACUCAAAGGAAUUGACGGGGGCCCGCACAAGCGGUGGAGCAUGUGGUUUAAUUCGAAGCUACGCGAAGAACCUUACCAGGUCUUGACAUACUAUGCAAAUCUAAGAGAUUAGACGUUCCCUUCGGGGACAUGGAUACAGGUGGUGCAUGGUUGUCGUCAGCUCGUGUCGUGAGAUGUUGGGUUAAGUCCCGCAACGAGCGCAACCCUUAUUAUCAGUUGCCAGCAUUAAGUUGGGCACUCUGGUGAGACUGCCGGUGACAAACCGGAGGAAGGUGGGGAUGACGUCAAAUCAUCAUGCCCCUUAUGACCUGGGCUACACACGUGCUACAAUGGAUGGUACAACGAGUUGCGAACUCGCGAGAGUAAGCUAAUCUCUUAAAGCCAUUCUCAGUUCGGAUUGUAGGCUGCAACUCGCCUACAUGAAGUCGGAAUCGCUAGUAAUCGCGGAUCAGCAUGCCGCGGUGAAUACGUUCCCGGGCCUUGUACACACCGCCCGUCACACCAUGAGAGUUUGUAACACCCAAAGUC
Molecule: ribosomal RNA, 1403 nt
Filed under: Lactiplantibacillus plantarum
Lineage: Bacteria; Bacillati; Bacillota; Bacilli; Lactobacillales; Lactobacillaceae
Description: bacterial SSU rRNA
Rfam family: Bacterial small subunit ribosomal RNA
Source: RNAcentral